UACGGGGGGGGCAAGCGUUGUUCGGAAUUAUUGGGCGUAAAGAGCUCGUAGGCGGUUUGGCAAGUCGGGUGUGAAAACUCCGGGCUCAACUCGGAGACGCCACUCGAUACUGCUAUGACUCGAGUCCGGUAGGGGAGUGCGGAAUUCCUGGUGUAGCGGUGAAAUGCGCAGAUAUCAGGAGGAACACCGGUGGCGAAGGCGGCACUCUGGGCCGGAACUGACGCUGAGGAGCGAAAGCGUGGGGAGCGAACAGG
Molecule: ribosomal RNA, 254 nt
Filed under: uncultured bacterium
Lineage: Bacteria
Description: partial 16S ribosomal RNA
Rfam family: Bacterial small subunit ribosomal RNA
Source: RNAcentral